Molecule: long non-coding RNA, 735 nt
Organism: Herpailurus yagouaroundi (jaguarundi)
Lineage: Eukaryota; Metazoa; Chordata; Mammalia; Carnivora; Felidae
Exons: 2
Source: RefSeq, a predicted model, not a curated record
CCCCUCUGUUUAGCUCACACACUUUCUCUCUCUAAAAUUUAAAAAAAAAGAAAAUUUUAAUUGAAAUACUUUCCAAUAUAAUUGCAGGUUUGACUACAAGCUAUCUUAUUAAUUUCUCUUUUCAUUUAAGAAUUUUACCUGCAUUACAAAAUAAAUGAUCUAUAUUCUUUGGAGUCAAACAAUUUGAAAAUAAGUCUAUCAAAUAUAACAUGAAGCAUAGCAAUAGGAUAUUUAUUUUAUAAAAAAUACUUUAACUGCUAUGCUGUCUAUUAUUAGGGAAAAAAGGGACUCAUGUUAGCUAAAAUAGUAACUGGGCUUUUAAGGACAGGAGUUUUGUUAAAAGUUGUUACAAUCUGCCAUUAAGUGAACUUUCUGCUCUCAUAAUCAUUUGGUCUAUAGUUACUCUUUCCAGUAAAGGAAAAAAAGUAAUUUUAUUUUUAUUUUUAUUUUAACAUCCUGGAACCCUCACUAAAGCAAAUUUCUAGGGUAAAAAGCAUUUAUAUGCAUUCUUGAUAUAAAGAAAAACUACACAACUAGAACUGAUAAAAACAAGGAACACAACCAAUUGAGAGCUAAACAGUUUACUGUUGUGAGGAAACAUUAUCAGAUAAGGACUUUAGAGGACUUGUUAUAAAUGUGCUAAGUAGUUUUUAAUUAGCUACUCCAGACAACAUCCUUGUGAAAUUAAGUGUUAUCCACUUGUAUGAAUAAAAACUAUUUAAAAAAACUAUUGCA